CAGCCAGCAGAGGGGAGAAGUGGCUGGACGUCCAGGUGAGGCAACUUAACUUCAGAGACAGUGGCUGGUUGAGGCAACUUGACUUUGGAAAAGAAAGGCAGACAGGCAGCUUGGCUUCAGAGGUGAGCGACCUGCCCUUCCCAUCCCCCUCCCAGCUCCCCUCUCCCUGAGAGCCACUUUCAUCACUCAAUAAAAUUCUCCACAUUCACUAUCCUUCAAUUUUUCCAUGUGACCUCAUUCUUUUUGAGCAGUGGACAAGAAUUUGGGAUGCACCAUGUACGGGUACCCAAAAAGGCUGUCACACUGACCCUUUGCCAUUGCUAGCAGAGGGCAGCCACCACAUGUGACAAAGCAAAAGGCCCACUGAGCUGAUAACACACUGCUAUCAGCAGGCGGCAGAGCUAAGAGAGCAUUGUAACUCACCGGCCUUGGGGUCAAGGGGGCCUGCACAGAGUUUGCUCCUGCCAGUGGACUUCGCUCCUGCCAGCACGGAAGAAGUCAGCUGGUUCCUGCACUUGGUCGCUCCCAUGCUCCCUCCUGCUAGGGGUGGAGCCCGGGUGAACCGAAGUGAAGGGAGUUUGCUCCUGCUAGGCUACUGGCCAGUUCUGCACUCACUCACUCUGGUUCCACACUCCUUUGCUUGCAUGCUCCCUCCCGAGAGGGGUUGAGCAGGGCAGGCUGAGCAAAUGAGCCACUCUUGUCGCAAGACCAGUGAUGGGGUCGAGAAAAUAUCCUGCGUCGCUGGCAGGCACAGGCAAGGAAAUGCCUACUCUCAGCAGCAACCUUGAAGAUGUUGUGGAAGUCGAUGACCAUUCUUACUUCACUCCGAGGACCAUGAUGGCGUGCAAGAGUGUGCCAAGCACGUUGCUAUCUUUGGCCAUUCUCUCUCACAUUAGUACACCUGGAUGUGAAUGGCAAGUUAUCUAUCUAAGCAGUGAUGGUCUCUUUCUGGUGGUAGAAAUGAUGGAAUUACACACAAUCAAGACAACUGAGAUUCCAUUUACUAACUCAGUAAUCAGAGAAUAUGUAUGA
Molecule: long non-coding RNA, 1032 nt
Organism: Aotus nancymaae (Ma's night monkey)
Lineage: Eukaryota; Metazoa; Chordata; Mammalia; Primates; Aotidae
Source: Ensembl